AUACCUUGCAGGGGAAAUACCAUGGUUAUGAAAGUGGUUUUUCCAGGGUAAAGCUCAUCAAUUGCACUUUUGGUGUGCUGAUCCUUAUGAUUUCCCCAAAUGUGGGAAAUUUGUGUUAAUGGAGGAUUGCAUUUGUAAUUUCCCU
RNAcentral lists this small nuclear RNA (145 nucleotides) under Pogona vitticeps (central bearded dragon). RNAcentral describes it as "U1 spliceosomal RNA (ENSPVIG00000009117.1)". It matches the Rfam family "U1 spliceosomal RNA". Rfam says of the family: U1 is a small nuclear RNA (snRNA) component of the spliceosome (involved in pre-mRNA splicing). Its 5' end forms complementary base pairs with the 5' splice junction, thus defining the 5' donor site of an intron. The record is from Rfam by way of RNAcentral. Lineage: Eukaryota; Metazoa; Chordata; Lepidosauria; Squamata; Agamidae.